Molecule: ribosomal RNA, 484 nt
Filed under: uncultured bacterium
Lineage: Bacteria
Description: partial 16S ribosomal RNA
Rfam family: Bacterial small subunit ribosomal RNA
Source: RNAcentral
AUUGAACGCUAGCGGGAUGCUUUACACAUGCAAGUCGAACGGCAGCGCGGACUUCGGUCUGGCGGCGAGUGGCGAACGGGUGAGUAAUGUAUCGGAACGUGCCCAGUAGCGGGGGAUAACUACGCGAAAGCGUAGCUAAUACCGCAUACGCCUUACGGGGGAAAGCAGGGGAUCGUAAGACCUUGCACUAUUGGAGCGGCCGAUAUCGGAUUAGCUAGUUGGUGAGGUAACGGCUCACCAAGGCGACGAUCCGUAGCUGGUUUGAGAGGACGACCAGCCACACUGGGACUGAGACACGGCCCAGACUCCUACGGGAGGCAGCAGUGGGGAAUUUUGGACAAUGGGGGCAACCCUGAUCCAGCCAUCCCGCGUGUGCGAUGAAGGCCUUCGGGUUGUAAAGCACUUUUGGCAGGAAAGAAACGUCGCGGGCUAAUACCCCGUGGAACUGACGGUACCUGCAGAAUAAGCACCGGCUAACUACGUG